AGGAAAUUGCCCCACAAGGAGAUUCGUCUGAUAUCCAACCAGAAGAAAUGGACUUGGCCCCGGGCCUAAGGGUAUUUAGAUCUUGUGGCCAGCUUCUGUCCCUGCCAUCGGUCAUUGCUCUUUGCUCACUUUUUGUUUUGCCGGAAAUGUGACUUUCCUGGUCUCUAAUGAUCUGC
Camelus ferus (Wild Bactrian camel) is the source of this 176-nucleotide long non-coding RNA. It matches the Rfam family "NPPA antisense RNA 1 conserved region 1". The record is from Rfam. NCBI's taxonomy places the organism in Eukaryota, Metazoa, Chordata, Mammalia, Artiodactyla, Camelidae.